UGGUGUAUGUCAGAACAGAAACGCCUCCCCGAGAUCGUCAAUUUUUUGUCUGAAAUUCUAGUAACCGGUGGAUUUGCUGCCGGAGAAUGGUAAAGGUCGCCGGAAACUGAAAAAAAGAAGAGACCGGUGGAGCUACGACGACGGUUGGAUGAUCAAUAGCUAAAGUAUCGUUAAUCACAGGAAAGGAACUUGAAUUUGAACAAAAUAAAAAGUUAAAAACAAUACUUUCUCUGGAAAUUUUUAUGUUCUUGUCGGAAAACGAAUGUGAAAGACUUUGAG
This 279-nucleotide long non-coding RNA is filed under the name Brassica napus (rape). RNAcentral's name for it is "long non-coding RNA (BNAP_LNC005556)". The record is from RNAcentral. Lineage: Eukaryota; Viridiplantae; Streptophyta; Magnoliopsida; Brassicales; Brassicaceae.